CUCCUUGCACACACCGCCCGUCGCUUCACCCGAGUUGGACUUUGACGAGGUCACCUCAUGUUGUGGUGAUCGAAUCUAAGCUCGGCAAGGGGGGAG
This 96-nucleotide ribosomal RNA is filed under the name uncultured bacterium. RNAcentral describes it as "partial 16S ribosomal RNA". It matches the Rfam family "Archaeal small subunit ribosomal RNA", at positions 1333 to 1429 of the family's 1478-position model. The record is from RNAcentral.